UUAAGCGACUAAGCGUACACGGUGGAUGCCCUGGCAGUCAGAGGCGAUGAAGGACGUGCUAAUCUGCGAAAAGCGUCGGUAAGGUGAUAUGAACCGUUAUAACCGGCGAUGUCCGAAUGGGGAAACCCAGUGCAAUUCGUUGCACUAUCGUUUGAUGAAUACAUAGUCAAACGAGGCGAACCGGGGGAACUGAAACAUCUAAGUACCCCGAGGAAAAGAAAUCAACCGAGAUUCCCCCAGUAGCGGCGAGCGAACGGGGAGCAGCCCGGAGUCUGAAUCAGCUUGUGUGUUAGUGGAAGCGUCUGGAAAGUCGCAGGGUACAGGGUGAUACUCCCGUACACUAAAACACACAGGUUGUGAACUCGAAGAGUAGGGCGGGACACGUGGUAUCCUGUCUGAAUAUGGGGGGACCAUCCUCCAAGGCUAAAUACUCCUGACUGACCGAUAGUGAACCAGUACCGUGAGGGAAAGGCGAAAAGAACCCCGGCGAGGGGAGUGAAAAAGAACCUGAAACCGUGUACGUACAAGCAGUAGGAGCCCCACCACCAAAGCGUUUCGCUUUGCGUGGUGCGCAAAAUGCGUAACGACAGCAUGAUGGAGGGUUAACGGAGCGUCAGCGACGUUCAACCUCAAAAAUCAGGCAGUGGAGCGUUUUGGGGUGGGGUGACUGCGUACCUUUUGUAUAAUGGGUCAGCGACUUAUAUUCUGUAGCAAGGUUAACCGUAUAGGGGAGCCGCAGGGAAACCGAGUCUUAACUGGGCGUUAAGUUGCAGGGUAUAGACCCGAAACCCGGUGAUCUAGCCAUGGGCAGGUUGAAGGUUGGGUAACACUAACUGGAGGACCGAACCGACUAAUGUUGAAAAAUUAGCGGAUGACUUGUGGCUGGGGGUGAAAGGCCAAUCAAACCGGGAGAUAGCUGGUUCUCCCCGAAAGCUAUUUAGGUAGCGCCUCGUGAAUUCAUCUUCGGGGGUAGAGCACUGUUUCGGCUAGGGGGUCAUCCCGACUUACCAACCCGAUGCAAACUACGAAUACCGAAGAAUGUUAUCACGGGAGACACACGGCGGGUGCUAACGUCCGUCGUGAAGAGGGAAACAACCCAGACCGCCAGCUAAGGUCCCAAAGUCAUGGUUAAGUGGGAAACGAUGUGGGAAGGCCCAGACAGCCAGGAUGUUGGCUUAGAAGCAGCCAUCAUUUAAAGAAAGCGUAAUAGCUCACUGGUCGAGUCGGCCUGCGCGGAAGAUGUAACGGGGCUAAACCAUGCACCGAAGCUGCGGCAGCGACACUAUGUGUUGUUGGGUAGGGGAGCGUUCUGUAAGCCGUUGAAGGUGGCCUGUGAGGGUUGCUGGAGGUAUCAGAAGUGCGAAUGCUGACAUAAGUAACGAUAAUGCGGGUGAAAAACCCGCACGCCGGAAGACCAAGGGUUCCUGUCCAACGUUAAUCGGGGCAGGGUGAGUCGACCCCUAAGGCGAGGCCGAAAGGCGUAGUCGAUGGGAAACAGGUUAAUAUUCCUGUACUUGGUGUUACUGCGAAGGGGGACGGAGAAGGCUAUGUUGGCCGGGCGACGGUUGUCCCGGUUUAAGCAUGUAGGCGGAUGUUCCAGGUAAAUCCGGAACGUCAUUAACGCUGAGGUGUGAUGACGAGGCACUACGGUGCUGAAGUGACAAAUGCCCUGCUUCCAGGAAAAGCCUCUAAGCAUCAGGUAACAUCAAAUCGUACCCCAAACCGACACAGGUGGUCAGGUAGAGAAUACCAAGGCGCUUGAGAGAACUCGGGUGAAGGAACUAGGCAAAAUGGUGCCGUAACUUCGGGAGAAGGCACGCUGAUGGUAGGUGAAGCGACUUGCUCGUGGAGCUGAAAUCAGUCGAAGAUACCAGCUGGCUGCAACUGUUUAUUAAAAACACAGCACUGUGCAAACACGAAAGUGGACGUAUACGGUGUGACGCCUGCCCGGUGCCGGAAGGUUAAUUGAUGGGGUUAUCCUCGCGGAGAAGCUCUUGAUCGAAGCCCCGGUAAACGGCGGCCGUAACUAUAACGGUCCUAAGGUAGCGAAAUUCCUUGUCGGGUAAGUUCCGACCUGCACGAAUGGCGUAAUGAUGGCCAGGCUGUCUCCACCCGAGACUCAGUGAAAUUGAACUCGCUGUGAAGAUGCAGUGUACCCGCGGCAAGACGGAAAGACCCCGUGAACCUUUACUAUAGCUUGACACUGAACACUGGUCCUUGAUGUGUAGGAUAGGUGGGAGGCUUUGAAGUGUGGACGCCAGUCUGCAUGGAGCCAUCCUUGAAAUACCACCCUUUAAUGGCUGGUGUUCUAACGUGGGCCCGUAAUCCGGGUUGCGGACAGUGUCUGGUGGGUAGUUUGACUGGGGCGGUCUCCUCCUAAAGAGUAACGGAGGAGCACGAAGGUCAGCUAAUCCUGGUCGGACAUCAGGAGGUUAGUGCAAUGGCAUAAGCUGGCUUGACUGCGAGCGUGACGGCGCGAGCAGGUGCGAAAGCAGGUCAUAGUGAUCCGGUGGUUCUGAAUGGAAGGGCCAUCGCUCAACGGAUAAAAGGUACUCCGGGGAUAACAGGCUGAUACCGCCCAAGAGUUCAUAUCGACGGCGGUGUUUGGCACCUCGAUGUCGGCUCAUCACAUCCUGGGGCUGAAGUAGGUCCCAAGGGUAUGGCUGUUCGCCAUUUAAAGUGGUACGCGAGCUGGGUUUAGAACGUCGUGAGACAGUUCGGUCCCUAUCUGCCGUGGGCGCUGGAGAAUUGAGGGGGGCUGCUCCUAGUACGAGAGGACCGGAGUGGACGCAUCACUGGUGUUCGGGUUGUCAUGCCAAUGGCAUUGCCCGGUAGCUAAAUGCGGAAGAGAUAAGUGCUGAAAGCAUCUAAGCACGAAACUUGCCCCGAGAUGAGUUCUCCCUGACUCCUUGAGAGUCCUGAAGGAACGUUGAAGACGACGACGUUGAUAGGCCGGGUGUGUAAGCGCAGCGAUGCGUUGAGCUAACCGGUACUAAUGAACCGUGAGGCUUAACCUU
RNAcentral lists this ribosomal RNA (3017 nucleotides) under Klebsiella oxytoca. RNAcentral's name for it is "bacterial LSU rRNA". It matches the Rfam family "Bacterial large subunit ribosomal RNA". Lineage: Bacteria; Pseudomonadati; Pseudomonadota; Gammaproteobacteria; Enterobacterales; Enterobacteriaceae. The record is from RNAcentral.